Molecule: ribosomal RNA, 33 nt
Filed under: Simulium sp. 6 BR-2011
Lineage: Eukaryota; Metazoa; Arthropoda; Insecta; Diptera; Simuliidae
Description: partial 5.8S ribosomal RNA
Source: RNAcentral
UAGGAGGCUUGAGGUUCAUAUGGUUGAGUGCUA